UACGUAGGGAGCGAGCGUUGUUCGGAUUUACUGGGCGUAAAGCGCGCGUAGGCGGCCUGAUAAGUCGGGUGUGAAAGCCCUCGGCUCAACCGAGGAUCCGCGCCCGAAACUGCCAGGCUUGAGUCUAGGAGAGGAGAGCGGAAUUCCCAGUGUAGCGGUGAAAUGCGUAGAUAUUGGGAGGAACACCAGUGGCGAAGGCGGCUCUCUGGACUAGUACUGACGCUGAGGCGCGAAAGCUAGGGGAGCGAACGGGAUUAGAAACCCUUGUAGU
Molecule: ribosomal RNA, 271 nt
Filed under: uncultured bacterium
Lineage: Bacteria
Description: partial 16S ribosomal RNA
Rfam family: Bacterial small subunit ribosomal RNA
Source: RNAcentral